This 1223-nucleotide ribosomal RNA is filed under the name Candidatus Phytoplasma trifolii. RNAcentral's name for it is "bacterial SSU rRNA". It matches the Rfam family "Bacterial small subunit ribosomal RNA", at positions 157 to 1375 of the family's 1533-position model. Lineage: Bacteria; Bacillati; Mycoplasmatota; Mollicutes; Acholeplasmatales; Acholeplasmataceae. The record is from RNAcentral.
CGACUGCUAAGACUGGAUAGGAAACAAAAAGGCAUCUUUUUGUUUUUAAAAGACCUUCUUACGAAGGUAUGCUUAAAGAGGGGCUUGCGCCACAUUAGUUAGUUGGUAGAGUAAAAGCCUACCAAGACGUGGAUGUGUAGCUGGACUGAGAGGUUGAAGAGCCACAUUGGGACUGAGACACGGCCCAAACUCCUACGGGAGGCCGCAGUAGGGAAUUUUCGGCAAUGGAGGAAACUCUGACCGAGCAACGCCGCGUGAACGAUGAAGUAUUUCGGUAUGUAAAGUUCUUUUAUUGAAGAAGAAAAAGUAUUGGAAAAACUAUAUUGACGUUAUUCAAUGACUAAGCCCCAGGCUAACUAUGUGCCAGCAGCCGCGGUAAGACAUAGGGGGCGAGCGUUAUCCGGAAUUAUUGGGCGUAAACGGUGCGUAGGCUGUUAGAUAUGUCUAUAAUUUAAUUUCAGUGCUUAACGCUGUCUUGUUAUAGAAACUGUCUUGACUAGAGUGAGAUAGAGGCAAGCGGCAUUCCAUGUGUAGCGGUAAAAUGUGUAAAUAUAUGGAGGAACACCAGAAUCGUAGGCGGCUUGCUGGGUCUUUACUGACGCUGAGGCACGAAAGCGUGGGUAGCAAACAGGAUUAGAUACCCUGGUAGUCCACGCCGUAAAAGAUGAGUACUAAGUGUCGGGGUAAAACUCGGUACUGAAGUUAACACAUUAAGUACUCCGCCUGAGUAGUACGUACGCAAGUAUGAAACUUAAAGGAAUUGACGGGACUCCGCACAAGCGGUGGAUCAUGUUGUUUAAUUCGAAGAUACCCGAAAAAUCUUACCAGGUCUUGACAUACUCUGCAAAGCUAUAGAAAUAUAGUGGAGGUUAUCAGGAAUACAGGGGUUGCAUGGUUGUCGUCAGUUCGUGUCGUGAGAUGUUAGGUUAAGUCCUAAAACGAGCGCAACCCUUGUCGUUAAUUGCCAGCACAUAAUGGUGGGGACUUUACCGAGACUGCCAAUUAAACAUUGGAGGAAGGUGAGGAUUACGUCAAAUCAUCGUGCCCCUUAUGAUCUGGGCUACAAACGUGAUACUUUGGCUGUGACAAAGAGUAGCUGAAACGCGAGUUUUUAGCCAAUCUCAAAAAAGCAGUCUCAGUUCGGAUUGAAGUCUGUAACUCGACUUCAUGAAGUUGGAAUCGCUAGUAAUCGCGAAUCAGCAUGUCGCGAUGAAUACGUUCUC